AAGCCAGCUGCCAUGUCAUGAGGACACUCCAGUGGCCCUAUGGAGGGGUCCUGCAAGUAAGGACCAGAGGCCUCCCUGUCAACCUGCCAGCAGGUGUGAGCCAUCUUGGAAGCAGAUUCUCCAGCCCAGAUCUUCAGAUGACCACAGGCCCAGGUGACCUCCUGACUGCAACCCCAAGCCACAACCAUGCAAUGAGCCACUCCCUCUUUCCUGCCUACCAUAAACUGUGUGAGAGAAUAAACUGUGAGUGUAUUGUCACUUUGGGCUAUUUAACUGAGCAGAAAUCUGUUAUGCUGCAAUAGAUAAUCAACCCUUCAGCUUUGGAGCCAUCUAGGAAGGUUUAGGGACCAGCAUGGCUUUGGGAGGAGC
RNAcentral lists this long non-coding RNA (369 nucleotides) under Homo sapiens (human). Its description in RNAcentral is "non-protein coding lnc-GXYLT2-9:1". The record is from RNAcentral. Lineage: Eukaryota; Metazoa; Chordata; Mammalia; Primates; Hominidae.